AAGUUUGGUUAGCAGAUAUAUGGUCAGACCCUAGUUGUACGGGGAGUAUUGUGGUCAGGUGAUGAAUGGAUGGGAGGUGUGUGGUCACUCGAUGCGUGGACGGGUGUUGUGUGGUUGGGCGAUGAGAUGUGGUCAGAAGAGUUUUAACGUGGUGGUGGAGAGAUGUAAGGAGGUUUUCCGGAAUGGGGAAUCAAGAAUGAGAGCAUGCCUUUUAGAGUGUAACUAAUGGGGUACGAAGGUUGAGAAAGUAAGUGAGUUGUGGUCAGAAGAGAUAUGAUAAAACGAGAGUAUUGUGGUCAGGUGAUGAGUGGAUGGGAGGUGUGUGGUCACUCGAAGUGUGGACGGGUGUUGUGUGGUCAGACGAUGAGAUGUGGUCAUACGAGUUGUGAAGUGGUGGUGGAGAGACGCAAAGGGCGUUCCGGAGUGGGAAAUCAAGAAUGGGUGUCACAUGCGUUUUGUUCUGAUCAUUGCUGAGAGGGACAUAUUAUUGGAUCCCAUAUAGGCUGACUGCAGCAGAAUAUUAGGCCGUGAAUAAUUAUUCACACAUGAAAAUCUAUUAGUUGUGAAAAGCCUCUUGGGGGAGAUGGUGGUCUUUUC
RNAcentral lists this long non-coding RNA (597 nucleotides) under Brassica napus (rape). RNAcentral describes it as "long non-coding RNA (BNAP_LNC021320)". Lineage: Eukaryota; Viridiplantae; Streptophyta; Magnoliopsida; Brassicales; Brassicaceae. The record is from RNAcentral.